GGUNGCGCANUCACUUGNCACCUAAAUAGAGACUAGUAUGAACGGUCUAAUGAGGACUAUCCUGUCUCCUACAGAAAAUCCGUAAAACUGAACCCCCAGUUCAAAUGCUGGGCUAACCCUACAAGACGAGAAGACCCUGUGGAGCUUUUAAACAAACUGCAACCCCCACNUGCAGAAAAGUUUUUAGUUGGGGCGACUCUGGAGACAAAAACAACCCCCAGGCACAGGACCACCCCCCCCCUAACAUGGCCAACAAGCCCACAAACAACUGACCCGGUUCCAACCGAAAAACGAACCAAGUUACCCCAGGGAUAACAGCGCCAUCUUCUUUUAGAGUCCCUAUCAACAAGAAGGUUUACGACCUCGAUGUUGGAUCAGGACACCCAAAUGGUGCAGCCGCUAUUAAAGGUUCGUUUGUUCAACGAUUAACAGUCCUACGUGAUCUGAGUUCAGACCGGA
Molecule: ribosomal RNA, 459 nt
Filed under: Gerrhosaurus bulsi
Lineage: Eukaryota; Metazoa; Chordata; Lepidosauria; Squamata; Gerrhosauridae
Description: partial 16S small subunit ribosomal RNA
Rfam family: Bacterial large subunit ribosomal RNA
Source: RNAcentral